AACGAACGCUGGCGGCAUGCCUAACACAUGCAAGUCGAACGAGACCUUCGGGUCUAGUGGCGCACGGGUGCGUAACGCGUGGGAACCUGCCCUUAGGUUCGGAAUAACUCCCCGAAAGGGGUGCUAAUACCGGAUAAUGUCUCCGGACCAAAGAUUUAUCGCUUUUGGAUGGGCCCGCGUUGGAUUAGCUAGUUGGUAGGGUAAAAGCCUACAAAGGCGACGAUCCAUAGCUGGUCUGAGAGGAUGAUCAGCCACACUGGGACUGAGACACGGCCCAGACUCCUACGGGAGGCAGCAGUGGGGAAUAUUGGACAAUGAGCGAAAGCGUAAUCCAGCAAUGCCGCGUGAGUGAUGAAGGCCUUAGGGUUGUAAAGCUCUUUUACCCGGGAUGAUAAUGACAGUACCGGGAGAAUAAGCUCCGGCUAACUCCGUG
Molecule: ribosomal RNA, 433 nt
Filed under: uncultured bacterium
Lineage: Bacteria
Description: partial 16S ribosomal RNA
Rfam family: Bacterial small subunit ribosomal RNA
Source: RNAcentral